UCUCAUUGAUGAAACGAACAGAUGACGAGUCCGAUUUCACUUUUGAAAUCUUGACGACAAAAAGAGGCAUUUGUCUGAGAGGA
Small nucleolar RNA from Amaranthus tricolor (Joseph's coat), 83 nucleotides. The record is from RefSeq and is a predicted model, not a curated record. NCBI's taxonomy places the organism in Eukaryota, Viridiplantae, Streptophyta, Magnoliopsida, Caryophyllales, Amaranthaceae.